RNAcentral lists this ribosomal RNA (218 nucleotides) under uncultured bacterium. Its description in RNAcentral is "partial 16S ribosomal RNA". It matches the Rfam family "Bacterial small subunit ribosomal RNA", at positions 328 to 539 of the family's 1533-position model. The record is from RNAcentral.
ACGCUCGACACCUACGGGGGGCAGCAGUGAGGAAUAUUGGUCAAUGGACGCAAGUCUGAACCAGCCAUGCCGCGUGCAGGAUGACGGCUCUAUGAGUUGUAAACUGCUUUUGUACGAGGGUAAACGCAGAUACGUGUAUCUGUCUGAAAGUAUCGUACGAAUAAGGAUCGGCUAACUCCGUGCAAGCAGCCGCGGUAAUCUGAGCGGGCUGGCAAGGC